Molecule: ribosomal RNA, 253 nt
Filed under: uncultured bacterium
Lineage: Bacteria
Description: partial 16S ribosomal RNA
Rfam family: Bacterial small subunit ribosomal RNA
Source: RNAcentral
UACGUAGGGGGCAAGCGUUGUCCGGAUUUAUUGGGCGUAAAGAGCGUGUAGGCGGUUUUACAGGUCCGCUGUGAAAACUCGAGGCUCAACCUCGAGCUGUCGGUUGAAACCGUCUGGCUAGAGUCCGGAAGAGGAGAGUGGAAUUCCCGGUGUAGCGGUGAAAUGCGCAGAUAUCGGGAAGAACACCCGUGGCGAAGGCGGCUCUCUGGGACGGUACUGACGCUGAGACGCGAAAGCGUGGGGAGCGAACAGG